UCUCGCAUCGAUGAAGAACGUAGCGAACUGCGAUACUUGGUGUGAAUUGCAGAAUCCCGUGAACCAUCGAGUCUUUGAACGCAAGUUGCGCCCACAACCAUUCGGUGAGGGCACGUUUGCCUGGGUGUCACACAU
This 135-nucleotide ribosomal RNA is filed under the name Melaleuca argentea. RNAcentral describes it as "5.8S ribosomal RNA". It matches the Rfam family "5.8S ribosomal RNA", at positions 26 to 154 of the family's 154-position model. From Rfam's summary of the family: 5.8S ribosomal RNA (5.8S rRNA) is a component of the large subunit of the eukaryotic ribosome. It is transcribed by RNA polymerase I as part of the 45S precursor that also contains 18S and 28S rRNA. Lineage: Eukaryota; Viridiplantae; Streptophyta; Magnoliopsida; Myrtales; Myrtaceae. The record is from RNAcentral.